Molecule: transfer RNA, 74 nt
Filed under: Caldibacillus debilis GB1
Lineage: Bacteria; Bacillati; Bacillota; Bacilli; Caryophanales; Bacillaceae
Description: tRNA-OTHER
Source: RNAcentral
AUCGGCGUAGUUCAAGGGGAGAACGUCCGUGUGACUGGCGGAAGAAGAUGGUUCGACGCCAUCCGCGGAUACCA